UAAGGAAUAUUGGACAAUGGGCGGAAGCCUGAUCCAGCCAUGCCGCGUGCAGGAAGACGGCCCUACGGGUUGUAAUCUGCUUUUGUAAGGGAAUAAUAAGGCGGACAGGUUCCGUCGAUGAAGGUACCUUACGAAUAAGCAUCGGCUAACUCCGUGCCAGCAGCCGCGGUAAUACGGAGGAUGCAAGCGUUAUCCGGAUUUAUUGGGUUUAAAGGGUGCGUAGGCGGCCUGUUAAGUCAGGGGUGAAAGGUUGCGGCUUAACCGCAGAAUUGCCUUUGAUACUGGCAGGCUUGAAUAAAGUUGAGGUAGGCGGAAUGUGGCAAGUAGCGGUGAAAUGCAUAGAGAUGCCACAGAACACCGAUUGCGAAGGCAGCUUACUAAGCUUUGAUUGACGCUGAGGCACGAAAGCGUGGGGAUCAAACAGGAUUAGAUACCCUGGUAGUCCACGCAGUAAACGAUGAGAACUAGCUGUUGGCGAUAGAAUGUCAGCGGCACAGCGAAAGCGUUAAGUUCUCCACCUGGGGAGUACGACCGCAAGGGUG
RNAcentral lists this ribosomal RNA (542 nucleotides) under uncultured bacterium. Its description in RNAcentral is "bacterial SSU rRNA". It matches the Rfam family "Bacterial small subunit ribosomal RNA", at positions 355 to 896 of the family's 1533-position model. The record is from RNAcentral.